Molecule: ribosomal RNA, 423 nt
Filed under: uncultured bacterium
Lineage: Bacteria
Description: bacterial SSU rRNA
Rfam family: Bacterial small subunit ribosomal RNA
Source: RNAcentral
AAGACCUUGCGCUUUUGGAGCGGCCGAMGUCUGAUUAGCUUGUUGGUGAGGUAAAAGCUUACCAAGGCUUCGAUCAGUAGCUGGUCUGAGAGGACGACCAGCCACACUGGGACUGAGACACGGCCCAGACUCCUACGGGAGGCAGCAGUGGGGAAUUUUGGACAAUGGGCGCAAGCCUGAUCCAGCCAUGCCGCGUGAGUGAAGAAGGCCUUCGGGUUGUAAAGCUCUUUCAGCCGGGAAGAAAAGGCUACGACGAAUAAUCGUAGCUCAUGACGGUACCGGAAGAAGAAGCACCGGCUAACUACGUGCCAGCAGCCGCGGUAAUACGUAGGGUGCGAGCGUUAAUCGGAAUUACUGGGCGUAAAGGGUGCGCAGGCGGUUUUGUAAGUCAGAUGUGAAAUCCCCGGGCUUAACCUGGGAACU